Molecule: transfer RNA, 69 nt
Filed under: Serrivomer beanii (Bean's sawtoothed eel)
Lineage: Eukaryota; Metazoa; Chordata; Actinopteri; Anguilliformes; Serrivomeridae
Description: tRNA-His
Rfam family: tRNA
About the family: Transfer RNA (tRNA) molecules are approximately 80 nucleotides in length. Their secondary structure includes four short double-helical elements and three loops (D, anti-codon, and T loops).
Source: RNAcentral
GUAAACAUAGUUUAAAUAAAACAUUAGAUUGUGAUUCUAAAAAUAGGAGAUAGACUCCCCUUGUUCACC